GACGAACGCUGGCGGCGUGCUUAACACAUGCAAGUCGAACGGAAAGGCCCUGCUUUUGUGGGGUGCUCGAGUGGCGAACGGGUGAGUAACACGUGAGUAACCUGCCCUUGACUUUGGGAUAACUUCAGGAAACUGGGGCUAAUACCGGAUAGGAGCUCCUGCGGCAUGGGGGGGGUUGGAAAGUUUCGGCGGUUGGGGAUGGACUCGCGGCUUAUCAGCUUGUUGGUGGGGUAGUGGCUUGCCAAGGCUUUGACGGGUAGCCGGCCUGAGAGGGUGACCGGCCACAUUGGGACUGCGAUACGGCCCAGACUCCUACGGGAGGCAGCAGUGGGGAAUAUUGCACAAUGGGCGGAAGCCUGAUGCAGCAACGCCGCGUGCGGGAUGACGGCCUUCGGGUUGUAAACCGCUUUCGCCUGUGACGAAGCGUGAGUGACGGUAAUGGGUAAAGAAGCACCGGCUAACUACGUG
RNAcentral lists this ribosomal RNA (468 nucleotides) under uncultured bacterium. RNAcentral describes it as "partial 16S ribosomal RNA". It matches the Rfam family "Bacterial small subunit ribosomal RNA", at positions 28 to 507 of the family's 1533-position model. The record is from RNAcentral.